CAAUGCCUACGGGGGGCAGCAGUGGGGAAUAUUGCGCAAUGGGCGAAAGCCUGACGCAGCGACGCCGCGUGAGGGAUGGAGGUCUUCGGAUCGUAAACCUCUGUCAGCAGGGAAGAACGGUCACUGUGCUAAUCAGCAGUGAAUUGACGGUACCUGCAAAGGAAGCACCGGCUAACUCCGUGCCAACAGCCGCGGUAAUACGGCGGGUGCGAGCGUUAAUCGGAAUUACUGGGCGUAAAGCGGUCGUAGGCGGUAUGUCAAGUCAAGGGUGAAAUACCCGCGCUCAACGUGGGAAC
RNAcentral lists this ribosomal RNA (296 nucleotides) under uncultured bacterium. RNAcentral describes it as "partial 16S ribosomal RNA". It matches the Rfam family "Bacterial small subunit ribosomal RNA", at positions 333 to 621 of the family's 1533-position model. The record is from RNAcentral.